This is a long non-coding RNA of Dermacentor andersoni, 2151 nucleotides long. RefSeq lists it as uncharacterized. The record is from RefSeq and is a predicted model, not a curated record. Lineage: Eukaryota; Metazoa; Arthropoda; Arachnida; Ixodida; Ixodidae.
UGCUGCCGCAGUCCAAAGAAAUACAAACGAAGUGCUCUAUUUUUGAAGUCGCAGCCACAUAGUAGUCGGAUGUAGAUCCAAUCCAUGCCGUUGAGCGCACGCAAAAUGGCAGCCUUUGUUUACCUGUGAACAGCUGACAGCCCCUUGCGUGCCCGUAAUUGCGGCCCCGCCCCCGUCAGAUACUGAUUGAGGAAGGGCCAAGAAGAAUUAUCCGUAGCCCCCGAGGUCAAACUUUGCAACAUAGUGGAUCGAGAACUGUCAAGGCAUUUUCCAUAGGGCACCGCCAUGACAUAACGAUAGCUUCGUCAAAGUUAUCGCUGCAUCGGUAAUACUUCCUGCACUGAUACGCUCCGAUAAAGAAGCUGCUACAACAUUAAAUGUGAGUAGUGAAUUCACCUUUUUUUACAUUAGUGGUAUAAAAGGCAGAAAUAAGACGUAGUGAGCACUUUAUGCAGGCGCUUAGCUUAGACAGAAUGUUUGCCUCUAAAUUUCUUACUGUUCUGCGGGCCGGCUGAAAUUCCCAAGUUGACAAAGAGAAAAUGGCAGCAGAAGGGCCGCGGGUGUCGAAAGAGCAGGCGGCUAUUCUCGUGCAGCUCAUCGAGCAGCACCCAUACCUGGCGAGAGCUUCUACAGAGUUCUCGCCACGUAUGACUGCUGCUCGAAAAAACGAACUGUGGGAGGAGGUGGCGGCGGUCCUUAACGCACAGGGGCCAGCCGUAAAGACCACCAGCCGUUGGCGCAACCAUUGGGCCAAGAUGGCGCAUAAAGCGAAAAAAGAAGCGGCCAGGGCAGCGAGCGAGAAGAGGUGAGCUUCUAAUGAUGCUGACAGUAACGUCGUUUCACGUUGUCGUUGUUGCCGUGUUUGCAGGGCUACUGGAGGUGGCAAAGUGGAUGGCGUCGACGGCCGCGUCCUCGACGUCCUUAUGAGGACAGGAGGGGUCCUUGUUUCCCCUCUGAGUACUUCGCCGAUAGCGAGGAGCGUACAUUGGAUUUAAAAAAGUGUUGUUUGUGUGACCUGCUGUGACCUCACAAAUUUUCAGCAUUACAUUGUAACACAAUAUUGCAAAAUUUUUAAGCCCUUUUUUUGUGGAAGUGACAAUAUAGGUUAUGUACUCUGAGCAGCAACUUGUGUACAUGAUCCGCAUUGCACACACUGCUCGCAAUGUCUGAACACUACUCUGAUUGCAGGACGACGCAAGUUCAGAGGAAGCUGCAGGGCCCAGCGGUUCCCGCAGACAUCCACCAGCGACAACUGCUUUCGUGGUGUCGGGCCCUGCAGCUGUUGCUGGGCCAAGUGGCCUUACACGUAAGGCAGUGACCUAGCUUUUGUAGUAGCAUUGUUGUUUGCAGUAGCUGUGUGAUCUUGCUAUGAAGGAAAGUACAUCACUGUGCUGUUAUUACCUUUGUGUCCAACAUCCAGCUCUUAUUCAUCGAGGAGAAAUGCAAGGCUACAAAUGACAUGAUGUUGUAAUAGAGAUUCCUUGUGCUUCUUAUGGGUUACUGCUACCAGCAAUUUUCCGUGGCAUCUUUUGCUCUAACUACCUGUUUUGUGUAUCAUUAUUGUAGCUAUGCAGGUAUAAUGACAUUUCAAAGUGACUGGUUAGGACAAUCAAUCUGUGCAGGUCGGAUAACAGUGAAUGCGCAGUCUUUGCUUUUUCCUUGCAUGAAGAGCCACCGGCUAGCUACCCCCCAGGUGCUACGGCCUACCCCCCAGGUGCCUCGGCCUACCACCCAGGUGCCUCAGCCAACCCCGCAGGUGCAGCAGCCAACCCCGCAGGUGCCGUAACCAACACCGCAGGUGCCGUAGCCAACCCCGCAGGUGCCGCAGCCUACCCCGCAGGUGCCGCAGCCUACCCCUCGAGAACCACGGGCACCCCGUAGACAGCCCAGGCAGCAGGAACUCGAUGGCACUGUGGUGACGGCUACUGCCGCAUACGUUCGCCAGAGCCAGUUGGAGGAAGCCAGAGUUCAAGAGGACACUCGCUUCCGCCAACAAUUGCUGGAGCAAAACCAGCAGCACCACGAGGCCCACAUGCAGAGCCUGCGGCAGCACCACGAGGCCCACAUGGAGAGCCUGCGGCACCUCGGGGAGGAGGUGGCGGGAAUGCGGGAAGUGCAGUCACAGCGCCUCGAAGUGCAGCGGCAGCGCCU